UGACCAAUCAAGCUCUGCUUGGCCUUGGGGCCCGCUGUACCGGCGGCCCUUAAAAUCAGUGGCGGUGCCGUCUGGCUCUAAGCGUAGUAAUACUUCUCGCUACAGGGUCCAGCCGUCCACCCGUCAGAACCCCCCAACUUUCUUA
This 145-nucleotide unclassified non-coding RNA is filed under the name uncultured Meliniomyces. RNAcentral's name for it is "sequence contains ITS2". The record is from RNAcentral. Lineage: Eukaryota; Fungi; Ascomycota; Leotiomycetes; Helotiales; Helotiaceae.